CCACGCUCCGGCUCCAGCCCCGAAACCUCGAACCACGCCACCGCCCCACUCCGACUCCGACCCCCAAACACGCUCGCCGACCGCGACCGGGAGGCGCCGGGAUCCACGGGGAGCUCCACCGCCCCCUGCUUGACCGCUCAGCGUGACGGCCGGCUGGCUGGCUGGCAACGAGGGCGAGGCUGCAGCGAGAUCGACGAUCGGCUCGGCUCGGCUGGUCGCGACGACGAGCUCGCGACACGGGAUCGGUUGGCGGCCGCGACGCUAACGACGGCGGCACGCUGAGGCACUGAGCAAGCUUCAUGGUAAACUCUCGAAGUUGAAGUAGAGAACACGCUAGGAUGGCCAUUCGGUGUUUCUAUGCUACUCUGGUCCAAAUCCUUCUCUGCCUUAUGCUCUGUCAGCCAUGCUAUAGCACAGUAACUGACAUCCAAUGUCUGAAGAGGUUGAAGGCAUCCGUUGAUCCAAACAACAAGUUGCAUUGGACAUUUGAUGACAACAAAGAAGGAUCCAUAUGCACUUUUAACGGCGUGGAGUGUUGGCAUCCUAAUGAAAACCGGAUUCUUUCUCUUCGGCUUAGCAGCAUGGAUCUGAAGGGCCAAUUCCCUGAUGGGCUCGAGAAUUGUAGUAGCAUGACAUCGCUGGAUCUAUCGAGCAACAGCCUUUCCGGGCCAAUCCCGGUUGACAUCUCAAAACGGCUUCCAUACAUCACAAACCUUGAUCUCUCGUAUAAUAGCUUCUCAGGGGAGAUUCCAGAAUCGCUAGCUAACUGCACUUAUCUCAAUGUUGUCAGUUUACAAAAUAACAAGUUGACUGGUGCAAUCCCAGGGCAGUUUGCUGGUCUUUCUCGCUUAACCGAGUUUAAUGUUGCUAACAAUAAAUUAUCAGGCCAGAUCCCACCAUCUUUGAGCAAAUUCUCAUCAUCCAAUUUCGCAAAUCAAGACCUCUGUGGGAAACCUCUGAGCGGUGAUUGCACUGCCUCUUCAAGCAGUCGUACAGGUGUGAUUGCUGGUUCUGCUGUUGCUGGUGCGGUCAUCACUUUAAUCAUUGUUGGUGUGAUUUUAUUCAUUUUCUUGCGGAAAAUGCCUGCCAAAAAGAAGGAAAAGGACCUGGAAGAAAAUAAGUGGGCGAAGUCUAUCANNNNNNNNNNNNNNNNNNNNGUAUCAAUGUUUGAGAAAUCAGUUUCAAAGAUGAAACUGAAUGAUCUGAUGAAGGCAACAUGUGAUUUUACCAAGGAAAACAUUAUUGGAACUGUUCAUUCCGGAACUAUGUACAAAGCUACACUUCCUGACGGUUCAUUCCUUGCUAUCAAGAGGUUGCAAGAUACUCAGCAUUCAGAGAGCCAAUUCACAUCCGAGAUGUCAACAUUGGGAAGCGCUAGGCAACGCAACUUAGUUCCACUAUUAGGUUACUGCAUUGCUAAGAAAGAGAGGCUCUUGGUGUACAAGUACAUGCCCAAGGGUUCACUCUAUGAUCAACUACACCAUGAAGGCAGUGAUAGAGAGGCUCUGGAAUGGCCAAUGAGGCUAAAAAUUGCCAUUGGGGCUGGUAGAGGGUUGGCGUGGCUUCAUCACAGUUGCAACCCCCGCAUUCUUCACCGCAAUAUUAGCUCCAAGUGCAUACUACUUGAUGAUGACUACGAGCCUAAGAUUUCAGAUUUUGGGUUGGCAAGGCUUAUGAAUGCAAUCGACACCCACCUGAGCACAUUCGUCAAUGGCGAGUUUGGCGACUUGGGUUAUGUAGCUCCUGAGUACACGCACACCCUUGUUGCCACGCCAAAAGGGGAUGUCUAUAGUUUUGGUGUAGUCUUGCUUGAACUGGUCACCGGCGAAGAGCCCACGCGCGUAUCAAAGGCCCCAGAAAAUUUCAAAGGGAGUUUGGUAGAUUGGAUAACAUACCUAUCAAACAACUCUAUACUUCAAGAUGCGGUGGACAAGUCCCUGAUCGGAAAGAACAGUGACGCUGAGCUGCUUCAAGUUCUGAAGGUCGCCUGUUCCUGCGUGCUUUCUGCUCCAAAGGAAAGACCUACAAUGUUUGAAGUGUACCAGCUUCUGAGAGCUGUUGGGGAGAAAUACCAUUUUAGCGCUGCUGAUGAUGAACUGGCGCUCCGACCGCAGGAUGCCGACUCUAAGAAGCUGGAUGAGCUUAUUGUAGCGAAAUAGACGGGCCUGUGUGGUACAUUGAUGCUGGGUGUUUGUUGUAUCUUGUGAAUGAUCAGGUUGAUAUAUGGUAGUAAUGUACUAUCUGGACCCGUCGCUAGCGAAACUGUCGGAAGCUCGAUCAAUGCUCAUGGUCCUGGAAAUAGCGUGUUGUUGUAAGAUGUGUAUGACUUGUGAUGUUCACGUUCUGUACUUGCUCAGUCUGUAGUGCAUCUUUGGGAUUAUGUAACUGGUGUGUGAGACGGACAAACCUCUCACGUUUUUUUGUAGAAGUACGUAGUUUGCAGUCC
RNAcentral lists this ribosomal RNA (2446 nucleotides) under Triticum aestivum (bread wheat). Its description in RNAcentral is "partial small subunit ribosomal RNA". The record is from RNAcentral. Lineage: Eukaryota; Viridiplantae; Streptophyta; Magnoliopsida; Poales; Poaceae.